Nyctereutes procyonoides (raccoon dog) is the source of this 109-nucleotide small nuclear RNA. The record is from RefSeq and is a predicted model, not a curated record. Lineage: Eukaryota; Metazoa; Chordata; Mammalia; Carnivora; Canidae.
AUUGCUCACUUUGGCAAUACAUAUUCUAAAAUUGGAACAAUACAGAGAAGAUUAGCACGGCUCCUGUGCAAGGACCACACACAAAAUUCAUGAAGCAUUCCACAUUUUU